Molecule: long non-coding RNA, 2730 nt
Filed under: Capsicum annuum
Lineage: Eukaryota; Viridiplantae; Streptophyta; Magnoliopsida; Solanales; Solanaceae
Description: long non-coding RNA (CANN_LNC017050)
Source: RNAcentral
UGCUUGUCAUGCCCCCAAAACUAAAAAGCUAGUAUGUAACAGGUUUCAUUUUUAUAACUCCCCUUUAUCUACAAAAAAAAUGAUAAGAAACAUUAAAUCUAGAGGGUCAUCCAUGUUCUUCGAAAAGGUAAAGGGAUAGCAUGAACAUUGAGAGAACACCACAACAUAAUUUCAAAUAACGAUUAUAGGGAGGGAUGGACACCGAAUGUUGAAUUUGAAGCAAAUUAAAAUUAAGUGAUCUAAAUAGGCCAAAGACACUCUGUUUCAGGAGCAAUUAUGAGUACGGAGUUGAGAAAUCUCAACCCCAUUCAAACUCGAACCCAAAAUUAUAUUAAGAUUAGUAUUAUGUUAGAGAAGAUCAUAUAAAUGGUGGAGGGAGACAUUAAUUUUAAGCAUUUAGAGGGCAAGACAGGAGUUUGCUAUGAAGUGUUUCUCUCUUAUCCCAUUAUCCUCAGAUGAACAUCUCUCUGCCCCAUACCACUUCUAAACAUCCAAACCAAACAAUGCAAUGAUAGGAAAAAUAAGAAAUAUGACUAGAAAAUACAAGAACGAAAAAAUUUAUCAAAUAUUUGGGGCUAGGGAGAGAGUAGAAGAUGGUAACACCAUGACGUGUUCACAUUUCAUCUCGUAACAUUUAUAUUACAAAAUUGAAAAGAAUAGGUACACGAACUAGCCGAAGGAGGUUCAACAUCAGUUACAUAUACGUAAAAAAUAAUUUUAAUUAUGUAUAACUAGUAUAAUUUUUUGUCAAAGGGAGUUCAGAUGAACCCCUAAUCAUAAGGUGGCUCUGCCACUGCUCUAUAUUAUACUUCAUCGCGCUAUAGAAACAAAGCGAGCACGUCAACAAAUUCAGCUCAAACAUAGCUGAAACUUAUUAGCAAACGAGCUCUAUUUCACGAGAUUGACGUAUUCAAAGGAAAAUAGGGGUGGUAAAAAUCUGAAGAGUAUUUUAAGAGGAGGAAAGUACAAAGUGCUGAACAUCAUGAGAUAUUCAUCCCUUUAUGUCCACAAGAACACUCCCUCGCCGGAAGAUCAUAUAAAUGGUGGAGGGAGACAUUAAUUUUAAGCAUUUAGAGGGCAAGACAGGAGUUUGCUAUGAAGUGUUUCUCUCUUAUCCCAUUAUCCUCAGAUGAACAUCUCUCUGCCCCAUACCACUUCUAAACAUCCAAACUAAACAAUGCAAUGAUAGGAAAAAUAAGAAAUAUGACUAGAAAAUACAAGAACGAAAAAAUUUAUCAAAUAUUUGGGGAUAGGGAGAGAGUAGAAGAUGUUAACACCAUGACGUGUUCACAUUUCAUCCCGUAACAUUUAUAUUACAAAAUUGAAAAGAAUAGGUACACGCACUAGCCGAAGGAGGUUCAACAUCAGUUACAUAUACGUAAAAAAUAAUUUUAAUUAUGUAUAACUAGUAUAAUUUUUUGUCAAAGGGAGUUCAGAUGAACCCCUAAUCAUAAGGUGGCUCUGCCACUGCUCUAUAUUAUACUUCAUCGCGCUAUAGAAACAAAGCGAGCACGUCAACAAAUUCAGCUCAAACAUAGCUGAAACUUAUUAGCAAACGAGCUCUAUUUCACGAGAUUGACGUAUUCAAAGGAAAAUAGGGGUGGUAAAAAUCUGAAGAGUAUUUUAAGAGGAGGAAAGUACAAAGUGCUGAACAUCAUGAGAUAUUCAUCCCUUUAUGUCCACAAGAACACUCCCUCGCCGUUCUAUACUCCAAAAAGUACAACCAAAAGCAAGACGAGGCUUUACUCAGAAUAGAAACUAAUCAAGUCAGCAACGCAAUAAGCAAAUUAUGGUCAUUACACAGCAAUAUGAAAAAAAAAAAAAAAUCAGGCGACAAGAUUAAUAGAAAAGGAAACAAAACGAACGAAAUGAAAUAAAGGUGAGGCGUGGAGGUCACAACAACAACAUAAAAAAAAUACUGCACUUAAGAUUGAAAAGAGGUAACCUAUUUUGGGGCAGCGAACCUACACGGUGAGUAGACGACAAUCAGUUUUCACACCACUUCGAUAUGCGAGUGAUAAAAAAAAUGAGAAUUAGAGUGAGUAUUAAUGACAACUGGAAAAAAUAAUCGCAAAGGAAAUAGAGAACUUAGUGAACCGGAGAGUGUGGUAAACCUCAAAUAUUCCCCCCUUUUUCCCUACCACUUGACUUAUGAUCUGAAGGGGUGAACAAGCCCCCUUUUAUAGGCAAAAUAUGGACUACAAUAGCUUCUCAAAGAAGCUUUCAAAAAAUUCAAAUUUGAUGUGCUUGAGAAGACAAAUUGCUGGUUGAUUCAGAGGGAUUAAUGGUGAAAAGAGAUAAAAGAAGAGAAAGGAGUCACCUUUUUGGCCGAUUUGAGAGACGAGUGACGGUUUGGAGGCGGAGAGGCUUGGAACCAUUGGUUUAAUCUCGGUAGCUGUCGAAUUGAAGGAAAAAACAUCUUGAAACUGCUGAUACUCAAUUCCCUCCUAUUUUCAGAAAUCGCAAGGCCUUGAACUUUGUUUUACUUCAACAAAAAAAUGAUGGAAAGGUGACAAGAGAGGACAAACGAGAGGAAAGGUGAAAACCACCAGAUUUCUUAAUUAUCCGGUGAUCCGAGUUUUGAUGGGCGUCCCUGGUUGAUAUUAUUGUUGUUUUGUCGAUAUUGUUGCUGGGGUUGUGUUACUCUGUUUGUUGAAAUUGUGAAAGGAAGGGUAAUGAAUGUUUUUUUUUUUUUUUAAAAGUGAUAUUACAUAAAACUUUCAUUAUUUU